This 405-nucleotide ribosomal RNA is filed under the name uncultured bacterium. RNAcentral describes it as "partial 16S ribosomal RNA". It matches the Rfam family "Bacterial small subunit ribosomal RNA", at positions 30 to 526 of the family's 1533-position model. The record is from RNAcentral.
AUUGAACGCUGGCGGCAGGCUUAACACAUGCAAGUCGAACGAGUGGCGGACGGGUGAGUAAUGCUUGGGAAUCUGCCUUAUGGAGGGGGAUAACGACUGGAAACGGUCGCUAAUACCGCAUACCAUACGAUGUGCCCAAGUGGGAUUAGGUAGUUGGUGGGGUAAUGGCCUACCAAGGCGACGAUCCCUAGCUGGUCUGAAAGGAUGACCAGCCACACUGGAACGGAGACACGGUCCAGACUCCUACGGGAGGCAGCAGUGGGGAAUAUUGCGCAAUGGGGGCAACCUGACGCAGCCAUGCCGCGUGAAUGAAGAAGGCCUUCGGGUUGUAAAGUUCUUUCGGUGACGAGGCGUUAAUCACAGAAGAAGCACCGGCUAACUCCGUGCCAGCAGCCGCGGUAAUUC